Molecule: long non-coding RNA, 1252 nt
Filed under: Olea europaea subsp. europaea
Lineage: Eukaryota; Viridiplantae; Streptophyta; Magnoliopsida; Lamiales; Oleaceae
Source: RNAcentral
AUGCUGCAUAAUUUCAUAUUUCUGUACCAAUGUAAGCUCAAAUAAAUGGGGAAAAUAUUUCUAAAACUAGAAUUGCUUCAAAUCAAAACAUUUUCUCACAGAUUAAGAGCGACUCGAUCAUGCUACAAACCCAAGCUUAUUGCUCCAUAGUUGAAAGAAAGUAAUUGAAGAAAUGUGAUGUGAUCCGAGAUAGGCCACAAAUUACCAAGGAUUUGAUGAUUGUUGGGCAGAGUCCUAAGCCACAUUCGAGACCUCUGGAAGCUAAUAAAACCAUGCAGAAUACAUGUUCAAGUUAUGGAGUUCAAAUUGAAAAGGUAAACAAGCCAAAUUCCAAGUGCAAUGUGGGGAUGUCGAAGGCUGAAACAACUUGGAGGCAAUGCAAUUCAAGAAGUUGGAAAGGGGCCUGCUGUAAAGUCAUGCGACCGCAAGGCUUUAAAGCCUCAUGCAGUCACAUAAGAGGAAGCAGAAAAAAUGUUCGGCAACAAGAGUUGAUCCAUGCGACCGCACGGUAUAAAUCCGGGGAAAAUUUUCCUUUCUCGUGCGAGAAUCCUAUUUUGAUUAAAACACUUAUUUUUGGCAACUUUUAUAUUCCUAGGACUUUUAAAUUCCGUUUCAAUAUUUCUGAGGUUUAUAUAAAUAGGAUUUAUUUUCAUUCAUUGUAAUCAACUUUGAUAUUUUGAGAUAAAUUAUACAAGGGGUUGUUUGCUUCCACUUUCUUGUUCUUAAUUGAACAAUUUGAACUUAUCAAGAUUAACCAUCUUGUGGCCUUCACAAAUCCGGGUGAUAUUCAAUCAUUGUGUGAUCAAGAGGUCGAUAAAUUCUAUUUUAUUGGUUGCUUGAAAUAAGUUCAGCCAAACAUGCUCUUACAUGGAGGACAGCAAUAUCAACAAAAGGAGAAAUGAGAGUUUUAAUUCAUGUUUAUCAUAAUUAACUACUGGGAACUAUUUAUGUACUUUUGGAGUUGAAGAUGUUACCUGUGAGUCUUCCGGCAAGGUACAGAGCUUCUUCAGCAAUUGGUCUCCAAUGUUCUGCGCAUGAAUAGUUAACCCAAAGUCCAACACUAAGUCCUCUCAAUAAACGUACUAUAUGAAGAACACAGGAGUUCCUCCGGGAAAGCCUAAUAUCACCACAACAUAAUAAGGAAAUCGGAUUCUUGAAAAUACAUAUUUUUGUCCCCUUCUAACAGCUUAAGUUUUAGAAGAGUAAUUCACCGUGAUAUCAGAACAUCCAAACGUCCAUAAUCACGUCUUAU